Peromyscus californicus insignis is the source of this 10915-nucleotide long non-coding RNA. RefSeq lists it as uncharacterized. The transcript is spliced from 3 exons. The record is from RefSeq and is a predicted model, not a curated record. NCBI's taxonomy places the organism in Eukaryota, Metazoa, Chordata, Mammalia, Rodentia, Cricetidae.
AGCAUUCACCUCAGACCUUUAAUAGAAAAUACCACAAAUUUAUUUAAAAUGUAUCUUCUCCCUCAGAGGAACUCCAUUUGAAAUUAUCCCCUAUCAUUUAUGAUAAAUAACACAUCAAUACUGAGACUUAAACAUUUGUGCUCCUUUGUCAAACAAACAAAAACAAAGCCAAUAUAAACACACAAAGAAGACAUGUUUCCUAUGCCACAUCAUUGAGACCUUGAGGCUAAGUAGCCAAUCUCUGAAUCUCAUUGUGAUGGUACUGUGUUCCCCAAAAUAUUGUUCACCCUAAUAAACUUACCUAGGGUCAGAGACAGGACAGCCACUAGAUACAGAGGCUAGAAAAUGGUGGCACUCACACCUUUAAUCCUAGGAUUCCAGAGGCAGAAAUCCAUGUGUUCAAGGAUACAGACAGGCAUGGUGACUCAUCACGCCUUUAAUCCCAGAAAGCAAGCCUUUAAUCCCAGGGAGUGGUGGUAGAAAGCAGAAAGGUAUAUAAGGCAUGAGGACCAGAAACUAGAAGUAUUUUGGCCUGGUUAAGCAUUUGGCUGGUUAAGCUUUCAGACUUCUAGCAGCAAUUCAGCUGAGACUCAUUCUGGAUGAGGACUCAGAAGCCUCCAGUCUGAGGAAACAAGACCAGCUGAGGAUCCGACAAGAUGAGGUAGCUGUGGCUUGUUCUGGCUCUCUGAUUUUCCAGUGUUCACCCCAAUAACUGGCCUCAGGUUUGAUUUUAUUAAUAAGAACUUUUAAGAUUCAUGCUACAUCUCAUGGCCUUACAAUUGAGUGGAGAAGCAAAUAUUCAGAGUGUUUUAUAAACUUUAAUUUGGAACAUGUAAAUCUGAAGCAGUCUAACCCUGGUUUCUCUGAUGUUUCUUGUUGUUUUUUUUUGGGGGGGGAUUUUUUUUCCUGAUAGUUCCUUCUUAACCUCCCUAGAGACCUGAAUUCUUUUGUUAGUAUUCAUACCAUCCAAAAUCUUGCCAGCAGUCACACCAUCCUGUCCCCAGUGGUAUAUCCCUCAUCUGUCAUCUAUCAGGGAUUAUCACACUUCAACAUGUUAGAACUGUGCAGGUCUAAUUUGGGAUGACAUCAGAUUUAGCAAGCAGCCUGGCUCCAGAGACUUCUAAGUAAUUCCAGGUAAUCUUAACAUGGGUCAUCUGGAAUCUAACUUCAGGAAAUAUUCACAUGAGAGCCAUGAUGAGUCACUAUUUCUUGCUAAGAUCAGCUCUUCUGAGACUCAGUGGCAUUUAAUCAACAACCUAGUGAAAAUGACUCUAGGUUGCAUCAAAUACUCUGUGUUUCCCACAUCUCAAGCACGGGUCCUUGACACCCCAAGUGAGUCACACUCAAGGUGGUACCUUUGAUUUUCCCCUGAGUUUAUUCCUUUUGUCUGUUCAGAUACCAGAUCCUCAAACACCAGCUGACAUUUGGCUCCUCUCCUCUUACCCCCCUUUUACUCACCUCACUUCCACUUCUCACCACACAGUCUUCAGGUCUUACUUUCUGUCUACAUAUUGAUUCAAGAAUUUGCUCUGAUCCACUCUGUAAUCUGAGUAGCAUUAGUAUAACCCUAUCCCACAGGAAAAAUUGUAGCAUCCUCACUGUGGUUAUGACUCCACCCUGUCAUGGUGCCCUCCCUAUGCUUCUGCAAAUGUGGUGUAGCCAUCAAAAUUCAUUGAGAGUAAAAGAAGGGAUGCCAGGGCAAAUGUGUCCUACAAGGAGACACUGGGUUCAUGGACCCUCCUUUCUCUUUGCUUUUUGGUUUCCAGUUGGUAGGUUUCUUCCACCGCCUUAAUGGGCCAAGAAGCACUGCCUGACUCAAAGUCACCAGAGACCACCCAUCAUGGAUCAAUCCCUCUGAAAGUGUGAGCCCCAAAAUAUUUCUACCCUUUGAGCUGAUUUCCUCGGGUGUUUUUCUGCUGUGGUGGAAAGCUGACAGAGACAAGAGAAGACAUCACGUGUUGUUCACACACUAACACAGUUGGAGCUGGUACUCUGAUCUCUUCCUACUCAUUUAUCUCAUUUGCCAAAACAUUGGGUGCAAACUUCUCUGCAUUUCUUUUCUGUCCUGUCUCCAUUCUCACGGCUGAGAACACCUGGUUUCUUCAUAUCUUCCCCUGUCAAGGUUAAGGACUAAAUCUAGAAGUCCUUGGAAUUACUGCUCAACACUUUUCAUUUCCAAUGCCCUUUUGGCAUGAAAAGAAAUGGACUAGGAGACCACUAGGAGAACAUGCAGCUCUCCAAGAUGUCUAUGCAGCAUUCCAUUUGGGAACACCCAAUAGGCUGGCACCCUUGCUGAAGGUCUCAGUACUUAGUGUUGCUGAAUGUGGUGGUGCUGACAGUUUAAGGUGAUGGGGUUAUCCUCUGAAAGACCUACAGAUGGCCCUUGACAAUCCAGAACACAGGCGUGGGAACUUGGUCCUUUUUUCCAAGGAAGAUUCCACAGCAAGUUAUUUGCAUUUACUGUCUAGCUUUUGUGAAAGCCCAGGGAAUUGGCCUCUUCACUGUGCUGCCUCCUUCCCACUUCUGUUCUUGAGAUGACCUGAGGUGCUAUGAUUUCACACUAAAGUAGAGAACUCUCCCUUCACCCCAGCCCUCUUUAACCAGGAAUCUCCCUCCUCCAGCAUCUCUUUCAGCAUACCGCAGCCCUAUUGCCGCACAUUGAAGGACUGCCUGUCUAGUCUUCCACCUCCAUAAAUGAGCUACUGACUUUUGCUGAAGUUUGUGUUUGUGACUGUCCCUAUGCUUGUGUGUGUCCAUAUUUGCACUGUGUGUGUAUGUGUGUGUGUGUGUGUGUGUGUGUGUGUGUGUGUGUGUGUGUGUGUGUGUGUAAUUGUCUGUUGUCUGUGUGUUUUCAUCCUGGUUGCACAUUGCCUUAACAUUUAGAGCCAUCUUUAAACUGUUGCUUAUAAAUUCGGGGCAGUUGUCUGUUAGCUUUGAGCACAUACUCAAGCACUUUGACUAAGUAUUUUCAACCUUGCUGCGGUCUUCACUCCUUUGUACCCUACCUGCUUCUCACUGGCAUUUGAGCUGUUUUCCUCUGCACUGGCUUGGACUUUCUAGUACUCUCAGCGUUAUUCAUGUCUCCUAGUGUUCUUGUGUCCAUUGUAAACUGGAGUUUGCACAAAUAAACACCUACCUUACCAGUGCCUCCUGCUCUACUUAAUGAAAACAAAGGCAGCAAAGAGAGCAAUCUGGUAGAGCCUCUCCACUGUGCGUGAGUACCCAGCAUGGCAUUCCUUGAUGUGGUUUGUGUAUUAGCCAGGCUGCUACUGUGUUCAUACGUUCAUUGUCCUUUUCUGAUGAGUGCCCUUGUUCCUUCAAGUAGCCUAGCCCCUUUCUAAUCUCCCCAGAUAUCCUAAAAGUCACAAUUAUUUAAACAAAUAAACACAAAUCAAAAACAAUUUCCAGACAGAAACUGAAUUCUGCAGUGCGUGUCUUUCCCCAGCUAUGGCUUCAUCUCUCUUAAAGCCAGUGAAUCAACAUUACCCAAAACCACACACAAACGUCCAUGGUGCCUACAUGCUGUUUCAUUCUUUCAGUAUGGAUUUUACCAUCAUUUUGCCAUGACAUAAUUCUAUGGGUUACACCAAUAAUUUCAUACUGAUAAAUCAUGUCAGUAUUAAUAAGUACGUGUCACAUUUAAGACACUGCAGAAUUUUGCAGAGUUAAUAUAGUCCUAUUAAAACUUUUUUCUGCUGCUAUUUUUCUUGACACGCCAUCUUCUUGGCUUUUCUUUCCAUCUCUGGCUUCUUCCUUGAAAUUGUUUAUGGCUUGAUAAUUGUAUAUCUCCUCAAUUCUCAACCCAAAUCUCUCUUCUUAUUUCAUAUUCUCUUCCUCAGAUAUCCUCAGCCACACCCAGGGGUCUACAUAAACUAUGCUUAUCUCUGUCUCAUUUCUCCCUGAGUUAGGCCUGGAACUUUGAAUUUCCAAUUUCUUUCCUACAGAGAUGUAGAAAAAUCCCUUAAAUGUGGGCAGAUAUUGUUAAUGUUCAUACCAUAGAUUACCUAAUUAGUAACUCUUUCUUUCUAAUACUGUUACAACUUUUUUCCUUUGUUUUAUUUUUUCUGGGGGGGAGAAAUAAAUCCCAAUAUCUACACAAAACUUAAUGUAAGAACAGAUAAACAAAGAUGCACAGUGAAGGAAUGAAUGAGUAGAUGAUAAAUUCCCCUUCCUGCACCAUACAUCUUUACAGCCACAUUCCAUGGAGAGGGGCAAGCUGAUUGAGAAUUGCACCACUUUGAUUGAAUUACAGUUGAAACAAAAUAAAAAUAGAAUAAAUCUGCAAUUUAGAAUAACACAUUUAUAUUCAAUUCUACUCUGUUCUUGAUUCUUUUCAGACUGUUUGAUCUGGCAUUUGAACAAGCCAGGGCAAUUCGUUUCCUUGUAGAUUAAGAAAUAUGGUGCAUUGUCAUUCAGCUCAUUUAUUAGUUCCUUUGAUUACAGUUGGCUAUUCUAGUUUCAGUUGAAAUUGGAACGUCACUUGGUUGUACACUUGUGUCUGACCCAAACUGACUAAUCAUUUACAUUUUGCACUAUAUUAAAUUCUGGAUUCUUGGAAUUGAAAAGCUUGCCAUGUCCUUGGGAGUGUGGUACUAAUAAGUAUAUUUUUCAUAUUCCAUACAAAGAGAAAUGGUUAUAAAUAAUAUAACAUUCUCUUUCCUAGGGUAUUCUACAACCACUUCUUGAAGGUGGCAGGCAAACAGAAUCUAAAAAAAGUUGUUCUUAAAUGAUGAUUCAUUUUAACACAUUUUAAAGUUAUCAUUAGCUUGUGACCUGUCAUUAUUAAAGGAGAUUAGAAACCAUAAGCAUUAACCACUAAUCACUAAUUAAAGUCACUGAUGGAAGAAAUUUGGGAGAAACACUGUGUAUUUUUGCUUUGGAAGAAAAUUCAAAAGUAUGGCAAGUCUCUCAUUAAGGUUCUACAUUUUAUCUAGUUCAGGAUGACUAACACACAGAUUGUGCACUCUGUAUUAAUUACUACUUCCGAUUCAAACUUGAAAAUACAUCAUUGCCUUUUCAUUAAAGAAAGCUGGAUGCCAAUCCACAUUAAUUAAAAGAAAACACAUUAUCACAGGAUGGGAUUACAGAAAGCCCUUAAAAAUUGUCACAUUGAUUUUGAAAUAAAUAUUUUAACACAACCAUCAAUGAAAUUAUAUUAAGUAAUUAAAGACAAAUUGGGAACUACAAACACUGCUCCUCAUGCUGUGUAGAGUAACCAUCUCUGGACACAUCUAACCAGCCCCCAUAUGACUGUCAGAGCUUGGUAUCUUCAGCCUUUCAGUCUCUCUCAUGCAUUCAGUAUCCGGUUUCUUCCAUCAAAAGCAGCAGCCACUCAUGAACUUGAUAGACCUGCCUAUUGCUCUAGCAUUCAUUAAGAUAAUUAAUGAGAACUAAUUCUCUUUGGUCAUACGCUAUGACAAACCUUCCACUCCACACUUGCCUCACGUUUCAGUCGUACACCACAACAUAUCAUAGAUUUUAUUUUGUUCUCUUUUCCUGGUGGACCAAACACCUGCUUGCAAUCUAUGAGCAAGUUUCAUCAUUUCUUGACUGAAUUCCUGGUUAGUUUUCAAAAAGUUUCCAAUAUUGAGUAGAGUUAUAGUCUGUUAAUGCCAGCUCUGCCUGAGUACUGACUUCUGAUGUUUCUUUAAGAACUCAGAGCAGCUGGCAGCCAAUCCUACCCACAGAUCAUGAUUGCACUGUCUGUCUCUGGAAAACCUUUAUUCUUUGAGAAAUAAAUUUUCUGUAAUUACCAAGUAGGCUCAUCACAUUGGAUUCCUUUUUCAAGCAUCUACCUAGUCAUAGGUACAGUGCUAUUGUCGUGUCUGACAGCCAUGGACAUACUGCUCCAUCUUGAAGAAGUUGGGUCAGACAUGAACAGAAAUGAGAGAGAGGAAACAGUUGCUAAUUCAAAUAAUAUAGAAAUCUCACCUUCAAAAUUACUGAAGGAGAAAGCUGAGAUCAGCAACCACAAACCAAUGGCUGCAAUGGUAACUCUCAGUUGGCCGCUUUUCCUUUACUUCCUUUUGUAUGGUUUCAGUUAACACAGUUGAUCAUAGUCCAAACAAUGAAUUCCAGAGGUAAAUAAUUCCUAAGUUGAAACUGGGCACAGGUCUGAGUAUAUUGACACCUCCGGUGCAGGCCCGAUCCCUCUCUGAACAAUGGGAAUCAUCAAUUGGCCAUGCAUCUUCAGUCUCUAUGUGACCCUACCAUGGGCACUUAACAGCUGUCUCCGUUACCAGAUAGAUGGUGGAGGGGUCGCCUCACUUGUGGUGAUGUGACCCUCAUGUCACAGUGUGAGAGCACUAUGUCACUUUAUAGCAUCACAAGAAAGACGAAUACAGAGAGAGAGACAGAGAGACAGAGACAGAGAGGAUGUAACUUUUACAGUAGCGUGUGAUUAUAAUUUUGUUGUAUUAAUUUAUUGUUUUAUUUAUAAAUCAAAUUUUAUAAUGAGUAUAAAAUUUUCUAACUUUAGAAAAAAUAUGUAAGAUUUAGUGCUAUGUGAUAUUUUAGACAUCCAGGUGUCUUGGAAUGCAUGCUCCAUGGGCAUGAGAGGCUAUAGUAUUACAGUUUAAUGUAUUGCAAAGCAUGUACAAUCUAUGCUUUGCAUCUUACACAUUUAAGAUAAUUCCAUGGACCAAGUGAAGCUCAGUCCCUUUUCCUCUUUGUCUAGUGCUAAUUUUGAUGACAGUGUAGCACAUUAACUUAGUUUUAAACUUUAGUUUUAAACAUUAGGACACAACCAGUUACUUUGAAAAUCUCAUGAGGCAUUUAAUGAGAUUACACUUUCUGGGAAGGAAAUACACAGCUAGAUGGCUUAAUUGUUUGUGAAAAUUAGUGAGUGUGCAAGCACAAAUGAUGUCCUAGUGGUCCAGCAUACUACACACCAGGCUAUAUACUAUUACAAGGCUACCAUUUUAUAUGGGCUUGCUCUGUGCAUAGAAGGCGACUCACUGCUCAGGAACCAUUUUCCUGUAUACCAAAUAUUCCUAGAUUGAAAAUUUAUCUUUAGAACAAUAGGGUCCCACUGCCAGGAGACAUCUGUAAUGUGCAAGUGUCUGCAUGAGGAUGCAACUCAAUGAAAGAUGGGGGAAUGUUCUGUGAGUGCUACCUGGUUAUUUAACACGAUCAAUUUCCCGUCCUGGACUAAAGGGAAAGACAAUUGAUUUGCCCCACAAACAUCCUCUAGAAGGCCAUUGAUAUGAUUACAUUGCUCCAGAGGGAAGGCAUGUGCUAAUGUGUCAUUUCCUAAUUUUAUAUUUAGUUCAAGAUAAUUCUCUCAUUAUGUAACUCAACUCCAGUGGUUCUUCCAUCAUCUCACUCAACUGGGUGAGCACAGGAUGUUAGAAUGGAUUUCUUGACACAGUUCAACAUACAGAAAAAUUUGUGAAAAUACUGUUAUAAGAGAAAAUUAGCUUAGAAAAAUUAUCUCUCUUAUAAAUCUCAUUUCUUAUAUGGGGUUUUCAUUGAAAUUUUGAGGUUUUUUCCUUUGCUCAUUUUUGGUUUGCAAGGACUACUACAACACAUGAUUGUUUAGAGCUUCCUCAUAUGUUGAUACAAAAUGAUUCUAAUCAAUGUUCCUGAACUAUGUGUCAAAGGGUGUUGAGGGUGUAUAGUUGAGUAACUACACAGACUAGAAAGAUCCUGAAUGAAGCAGACUCUGUGACACUGUAUUUUCUGAAAAUCUGGCAUUGUUCCUGGACUUCUUGGUUUUAUUCUCACUCAUGAAAUCCCCAAGACAGAUGAAGAGUCUCCAUGUCAUGCCUGUAAAUGGAUGACUUGACUCACACAAGCAGUACUGAAAUCUCCUUUGAACGUUCUGGCAGGAAUGAUCUCCUGCUAGGGAAAGAUCAUGAAGACAAUGAGCAGCAAGGAAGAGAUGGCAGAAGGUUGACAUUUGUUCACUGCACUGAGCACCACUGCAGGAGUGUGACUCUGAGACUCUCAGAACUAUGUCUGGAGAAGGCUUGUCUGACUUUCAGCUAAGCAGCUGGAAAUCACACUAAUAAGGUGACCGUCUCAAAAGACAACUAUUUAUUUUGAGGUUUUGAGUUAUUCAAAUCACAGUCCAAAUGUUUUAUUGUACUUUAUAGCUCUUGAAAAUAGCUCAACUGGAAUUACUAGCUAAAUUGAAAAUGAGCUGUUACUAGUUUUAUUUUCUCAAGGAGAAGCCACAGGCCAAUUAGGAAAUGCACAGGAAUCACUAGCAUCUAGGCAUGGAGUGUGCCCCAACUCCAUCAGCCUGUGUAGACAUUAGAUCUACCUUAUAUAGAGAUCAAUAUAUAAGAUGUCUCAAUUGAGCUCAAUGAUUUGAUUAGCUAUGGACCAGAGAUCCUUUCUCUGACUCCCAAGUUCCGGAACUACAGGUAGGUAUAGCCACUUGCCUGAUAUUUGUAUGAGUGUUGAGGACUUGAACUCUGGUCCUCACUCUUGAAUAUCAAGCUUUUUACAAGCUGAGCCUCAUCUCUCCCAUUACUAUACUCUCAUAACUCCCUUUUUCCUUCAUGACUGACUCUAACAUGGUAACUUUACCAUUGAUACAUAAUUUCUCACAUUGUAUUUGUAUUGUUUGUUUAUUGCUUAUUUCAGUUGGGUAAUAACUUCCAAAAAGACAGAAAUGUUGGAUUAGGUGGAAUUGUAACUCAUAAUAUUUCACCUAGUAUUCUAGUAGUUGUAGAUGAGUGUGUUAUUGAAGUUAUACAUGAGUGCCUACAACUGUUAUGGAAAUAGCUCUGGCUUGGGAUGUCUUUCAGUGUUUGGGUACUUGUCUAGAAUGUACAACACUUGGGUCUGAUGCCAAGCAGUACACAAAAGCAAGAACAGAAUAUCAACCCUGAUUUGUAUACUAUACUUGAAAAAACACUAUUAUUUUUUAUAGUGAGACAAAAUAGUUGGAAUUAAAUAUACAUUUUUAAAAAUACUGAUUUCAAUAUAUUUUCUGGAUGAAGAAAAUUUAAACAUUAAGAAGUGACCAUUUCAGCACUCAUUGGUGCUUGUGUAUGUGUAAUGUAUGUGUUUAUCAUAUAUUUUUAUAUCAUAUAUACAUAUACCAAUCAAGCAUAUGUACUAACAUGUGUGCAUGUUUGUAAGCCAUAAGAAAAUAAAGUAUGAUUUGAACCAUAUUUUAUUUUAUCCUAAGAUUAAACAUGGAAUUUUUUAAAGAUAUGUGUUUUAGACACAAAUUAUUAUCUAAUUAAGUAAAAAAACAGCUCUUUAAACUCAUCUUGAGGCAUAACCAGGGUAUUUGAUUGUUUUCUUUGGAGAUAUUUGCUGCAUGAAUGUAAAGGUAAAUAUAUAUCUUUCUUUUUCCAUGUAACAUUGACAUUUUUCUGAAAGGUAAAAUUUACUUUUGUACCAAAGGUUGUAGCAUCGGUCAUAACAUACCCAAUAAUUUCUGAAAGUAUCUAGCCCAAGCUUACACUGUUUUGAAAUGUUGGAAAUACACUUGACACUAAGUGUAUAAGUAUCAUCUACACUCCACUCAGCACCUAUGAAUAUGUGUAUCACAAUGCUGGCCACUACAAGUGGAAAGCCAUUUCUCUUGGGCAAUAAGUUCUUGUCCCAAUGGCUUUCAUUCCUUUGGAAAUGUCAUCUCAAGUCACUUUUAGAAAUAUUUAUUUUCACAGACUAGUUUCUGGCGAUACUAUACACGCUAAAGUAUGUUCAAAAGAAGUGCAAGACAUUUAUUUAACCCGUAUUUGCUCAUUCCUGUGGUGUUGAAAAUAAUGUCUUUUUGAGAACCAAUCCAAGUUGGAUGUUCAUCUGUGCGUAUCACAUGACUGUAAGUCAAGAUCUUAAUUGCUCAAUAAAGUGUCUGUGAGAUAAUAAGGUAUGUGUGCAAUUCUAAGAACCUCUAAAUAUUUCAGGUCUGAUUUAACAAUGGUCAAAUUUGGAAAUAUACUCCUGUAUUAGCUUUACAAUGCAAUUAUUAUAUAAUUAAAGCAUUUUCCUUUCCUUGACUAUAUCUUUGUUAGUCAAGUAGAUCUGCAAUGGCAUAGAAACACUGUGUAGACUUUGGUUAAAGGUAGAGAUUGCAAUGUACUUAACAAGGUUGGUCUUUAAAUCUGGAGACGUCUGCACUUUAGGAUGCAUCAAGCAGUAAUUUGUAAUUGACAGUUUUCUUACCUAAAGCCUUCUCAGUCAAGAGAUUGUUCUCCAAAGACAGUCAGCUGGGUAAAUGUCAGAGGCUCAAAAAGUAAAUUAUAGGGCAAACAGCGUUGAUAUUUCUAUGAAAUGGGAGAAAGGCAUAUUUAUUUUUAAAAUAUAGAAUUUUAUUUAAAACAAGUGAAAACCUUCUCUCUGUGACCUUUCCAAGAUUCCAAACAGUGACGAAUUUGGUCAUUACAAAUAACCUUUUCCACAAAGGACCUAAGCAGUCAGUACUUCUAUUUGGUAAUGUACAUGAAUUAGUUUCUUUUCUACAAUAUGACUCUUGACAUUAAAUUUUUAUAUUUUAUCCCUGAUAAUACAGUUUUAAAUAAACUUUGAAAGGGGAAACAUGUAUGUAAACAGCUACAUGGCAAUCCAUUGUUUUAACUACUGUAGGGUUAAUCAGUCAUGCUCUUCAAUAUAGAUGGUUCUGUUUGUGUAAGUUUGUGGGGCUUAAUGCCUCCUAGUUUUGCUUGCAGAUACCAGAAUUUUACUGGAUAGCUUCAUGGAAAGCAGUUUCCAAUUCAACAGUUUAUUCUAAGUUUGUUGACUGGUAAUUUGUUUGAAAUCUAAAACUCUUCUUUACAAUAUGAAUGUUGUGAUUUUCAGAUUGUUUCCCAAGUUAAUCUUUACUGGUUUUAAACUCUUGGGGAAUUAAAAGAGAAAGUGAAUGUAAUAUUCAUGUAGUACAUAAAUACUGUUUCUGAUUGUUUAUAUAAGAUAAUGAAUAUAGAUUAAAUAAUUGUAAAACACUGUUACCCAA